AUGAAGUUUCUUGGUCCUUACUACAUGUUUGCAAUUACCAGGAGAAGAAAAGUUGGCACAAUCUGUGGCCAUGAUAUUUAUUCAAUUGGCAAGAGUGAAGUGAUUGCUAGUUGUUGUGGUUUAGCACUUUUUCUUCAAAAUCUGCAUUUAUUUAAGUCUUCAGCUCUCAUAUUCUUUUUGUGGUUUAUUUAUUUAUAUACUCAGAGAGAGAGAGAGGGAGGGAGGGAGCGAGAGAGAGAGACAGAGAGAGAGAGAGAGAGAGGACUGGUUAGAUUAGGCCAUCGGAGUAUCUGUUUGAUUGAUGUGAUGAAUUUCAAGUCUGCAUCGGAGUAUUUAUUUAUUGAGCUUUACGGUGGUCGGAAUUUUGCAAGAUGA
RNAcentral lists this ribosomal RNA (375 nucleotides) under Triticum aestivum (bread wheat). RNAcentral describes it as "partial small subunit ribosomal RNA". The record is from RNAcentral. Lineage: Eukaryota; Viridiplantae; Streptophyta; Magnoliopsida; Poales; Poaceae.